GGUGUACAGCUGUAGGGAAAGGACAUCCUCAGCAGCUGUGAUAGAGUUGGCGCACAGUAUCCCUGAAAAGAAUCCAGGAUGAAGAGACCUCAUCUGAUCUCACCCUUCCUUCCCUUACUCUCUUGCUCAGUAUUUCCCUUUGGCCAAACUGGAAGCCAGAAGACAAAGCAGACCUUUGAUGUAGUCCAUAUUGGUAAUCUUGGGGUACACAGAUAAGGGAGGAAAGAGGAUGGAGGGAGGCUGGGUACAAAUUGGAGAUAUCUAGAACACCUGAGAUAACUAUAAUUACUCUUGCUAUAUAUCCAUAGAAUUAUGCAUAUUUAUCUAUAAGAAAGAUCAUGCUUUUGACAAUUAGGAUCAGAUUCUACAGUUCUUGUAAGUAUGUUUCUUGACAAAUUGAUAAAAAAGAUAUUCAAACUUAAAACCAGUUUCUUUUUAAAUGACAAUAAAAUGUAAAAACUUUCUAAAUAUUAGGUUAUUGGCAGGGUGCCAACAGGAAACAUCAAGUUAGAUCUUAGCUUUCAUGCUUAAACAUGUAGGAUUUAUCCGUUUUUUUGUUUUGUUUUGUUUUUGUUUUAAUAUGGUACCAGGGAUUGAACUGAGGGGCACUCAACCACUGAGCCACAUCCCCAGCCCUAUUUUGUAUUUUAUUUAGUGACAGGGUCUCACUGAGUUGCUUAGCACCUUGCGGUUGCUGAGGCUAGUUUUGAACUUGCAGUUCUCCUCUUCAGCCUCCCAAUCCACUGAGAUUAUAGGCCUGGUUUUGAACUUGCGGUUCUCCUCUUCAUCCUCCCAAGCCACUGAGAUUAUAGGCGUGAGCCACCACGCCCAGUCAGAAAUAUCCCAUUUUCAAAUUGCCAUAAAAUAACAUACAUAUGACCUAGCAUGCUGGUGGGAAAUCAACUUCAGUUAUUACCAGUGGUUCCCUAUCUCCAUUAGUUGUACAAAUGUUCUAGAGUCUCAACCUAGCAUAAAACCUGAGGAUACCCCUUGUUGUCGGCUGUCUGUCUACAUUGGAAAUAACAUGCCCAUUUUCUGAACAGGCACAAUAUCUUCAGAUCCUUUGUCCCUAAGUGUUCCCAUCCAUCUAUCUGUGUAGGGAGUUCUUUGUCAAGAAUAGACACUGAGGAAUGGGAUAUAUCUCUAUAAUAGAGUACUUACUUGCCUGCCAUUCAUGAGGCCCUAUGUUCGGUCCCCAGCACUGGGGUCCACCAGUCUUCCUGACAUGGAGAAAUGCUCAUAUCUGCUACUAAAAGGGCCUACAAACCCUGACCUCUCUUCUCUUGCUGGCUUCCAGUGCCCUCCAUUCCCAUCCAGGGACACUGGGCUUGAUUUCUUCAAUGAAAACAAUCCUUGUUAAAAUGUAAGAAGUCUUGACUUCAAGCAGCUUCUGCUUCCAGCUGUGUCACAAACAUCCCUUUCCCAGAUCUCUGCUGGAAAUGACAGGAGAUAGAGUAUAUAAUAUGCAUGUUAAUAUCUAAAUGGCUGAUUAUUUAAUGUUUUACAGUUCAUUAUUUUGGC
This 1521-nucleotide long non-coding RNA is filed under the name Marmota monax (woodchuck). The record is from RNAcentral. Lineage: Eukaryota; Metazoa; Chordata; Mammalia; Rodentia; Sciuridae.